UAUGGCCAUAUCAUGUUGAAACAUUGGUUCCUUUAUGAUCACCAAAGUUAAGCAACAUCAAGCCUGGUCAGUACCUAGAUGGGUAACUGCUUGGGAAUACUAG
Acanthosepion pharaonis is the source of this 103-nucleotide non-coding RNA. NCBI's taxonomy places the organism in Eukaryota, Metazoa, Mollusca, Cephalopoda, Sepiida, Sepiidae. The record is from the annotation of a GenBank genome assembly.